UGAUAGGCGGCAGGUGUAAGGCGCGCGAGCGCUUCAGCCGAGCCGUACUAAUUGCCCGUGAGGCUUGAUCU
This 71-nucleotide ribosomal RNA is filed under the name Gemmatimonadetes bacterium 13_1_20CM_4_66_11. RNAcentral's name for it is "partial 23S ribosomal RNA". Lineage: Bacteria; Pseudomonadati; Gemmatimonadota. The record is from RNAcentral.